Molecule: long non-coding RNA, 303 nt
Filed under: Gossypium raimondii (Peruvian cotton)
Lineage: Eukaryota; Viridiplantae; Streptophyta; Magnoliopsida; Malvales; Malvaceae
Description: long non-coding RNA (GRAI_LNC010962)
Source: RNAcentral
UUUUUCACUCACUUCAUUCACAUUUUCUUUUGUUUCUCUCUCGCUUUCCUUUCCGCCUUUUUCAUUUUCAUUUUCUUCUUUUUCACUUUUAUUUUUCCCUUCUCCUUUUUCUUUUUCCUCACUUGUUUUAACAACAAAAUUUUUCAGUUUGAUUUGGUCCUCAUGGACCUAUUCCGGAGUGAGCGGCUCUAUGGUGACUUUCCUUCCGUGAUGCUUGAAAGAAUACCUAUUGGUACGACCAUCGUGGGUGACCUUUCGAUCCCUUUGCCAUGGUUCUCCUAGCAACAAAUGGCAGGCUUGAAU